CUGGGUAUCGUCUAAUGGUAGGACGCGAGAUUCUCAUUCUUGAUAUACUGGUUCGACCCCAGUUACCCAGA
Molecule: transfer RNA, 71 nt
Filed under: Lachnospiraceae bacterium OttesenSCG-928-E19
Lineage: Bacteria; Bacillati; Bacillota; Clostridia; Lachnospirales; Lachnospiraceae
Description: tRNA-Glu
Rfam family: tRNA
About the family: Transfer RNA (tRNA) molecules are approximately 80 nucleotides in length.
Source: RNAcentral